GACGAACGCUGGCGGCGUGCUUAAUACAUGCAAGUCGAGCGAAGAAGCGAAGAUCUUGCUGCGCGGACGUGUGGGGAAGGCGUGAGUAUAACGCGUGUAUAAUGUCUCUUUAUUUGGGGUAAAGCUUGGAGAAGGGUGAUCUAAUAGCAUAUAAUAUGGUCAUCGGCAGGGGGCAGGUGGAAAGGGCUUUUUUGCUGUGGCUUGGGCAUGCGGCCUCGCAGCAUGAGCUAGUUGGGAAGGUAACGGCGUACCAAGACAACGAUGCGUAGCCGACCUGAGAGGGUGAUAGGCCACACUGGAACUGAGAGACGGUCCAGCCUCCUACGGUAGGCAGCGGUAGGGAAUCUUCCGCAAUUGGAGAAAGCUUGACGGAGCAACGCAGCGUGAGUGCUGAAGGUCUUCGGAUCGUCAAACUGUGUUAUUAGGGAAGAAAAAAUGUGUACGUAACUAUGCAUGUCUUGACGGUACCUAAUCAGAAAGCCACGGCUAACUACGUG
This 497-nucleotide ribosomal RNA is filed under the name uncultured bacterium. RNAcentral's name for it is "partial 16S ribosomal RNA". It matches the Rfam family "Bacterial small subunit ribosomal RNA", at positions 28 to 507 of the family's 1533-position model. The record is from RNAcentral.